GAUAGAAAUUUUGCAAGUGUACAAAUAGCCGUCAAGUAAUAAAAUCAAAGUUCGUAUCCACAGGGAUUGUUUCAAUCUCGACAAAACAAUUAAAUUAAUUUAGGAUUAAUAAUUAAAAUNNNNNNNNNNNNNNNNNNNNNUCUAAUUACUAUUUCUCUUGGUAAUUUCAUGUAUGAUUACAAAUUAAUCAAUUUAGUUUCAUGAUUAGAUUAAAUCUCAAGUGAUUAUGCCCAAUGUCUUGGUAACAUAAUCCUCUCCAUUUAUCAUCGAUUCCUAAUGUCUUAGGUAAUCUAUGAUCAAUUGAGGAAUAUAAACUUUAAUCCGUUAAUCUCAAUUAACAAUCCGAAAUGUCUUAAGUGAAAGAUAAUUGAUCAAUUAUUCCUAGAUCGAUGAGUUAUCCCUAUUGUCAUAGUAAAACAAAUCAUUGAAAUCAUCAUAUAAGUCGCGAAUUCAUACAAAGCAUUAAGCACAAGGAAUAAUCAAAGAAACUAACUUCGUAACUCAUUGAUCAUAUCAAAUGAUAAUCACAUGGUUCAAGAUAAAUUGAAAUUAGAAUUCCCUAAGGACCAAUCAUGGAAAUUUAACUCGACAUAAUUGUGACAAUAAGCAACAUAGAGAAUAAAGUAAAACCAGAUAACAUAUGAUGCUCCUCCUGCUUGUUGCGCUAUUGCCGUUCUCCAAUUCUGUUGCGUGAUGUUGAUCCCCCUCUCCUCAUUGUGGUGUUGCCUUUAAUAUAUGUUCAACCAAUGAAACCUAAACACCUCACUUUUUGGAUC
Molecule: long non-coding RNA, 776 nt
Filed under: Trifolium pratense (red clover)
Lineage: Eukaryota; Viridiplantae; Streptophyta; Magnoliopsida; Fabales; Fabaceae
Description: long non-coding RNA (TPRA_LNC005434)
Source: RNAcentral